AAUCACCGAGCAUAUACCCCAAACUGACAUAACAUUGUGUAUGUACUAUACUUAAACAAAAAGAAAAAAAGAUCAUCUUCUUUACUUCACUUUUAAAAAAAACAACAACAAAGAGACCAGAGUUCAAAAGGAACUCGAGCCAGGGACAUUAGAUAUACCCAUCAGUCCCCAGGAAAAUAUGCCCCUUUUAAAGGUCUGCAAGCCUUAAAAUACAAAAGGAAAUUUAAAAAAGAUGGACAACUUUGUUAAUCGUGGAAAGGGAAAUUGCCUGCACUUGUGGUAACCUGUGAAAGUAGCAAAGUUCAGAGACUAUUCACAUCACUCUUCAGCCAGUGCCCCUGGGUAGAUGGGUGAAGCUUUGCCUCCCGGUGCAGAGUGAGGCCCGAUUUGGGGCAAGUUCUUCCUUGAUGGACAUGAGGAAGGUAGGUGUCCUCAGUCCCAGUCCUAACUUAGUGUGGCCUUGAGGAAAUAACUUGCUUUCUCUGGCCUCAGUGUUUUCAUCUAUGAAAUGAGAGAGUUGAAUCAAUGCAGAGUCUCAGCAAUGUCAUCUAGUCUCCAAAUCCUGUGAUUCUGUAGGUAGAACCAGCCCUCCUUAACCCACCUCCAAUGCUCACCACGGUUCCUGGCACACAGCAAGCGUCCCAUUCAUGUUUGUUGAAUGGAUGGAUGGAAGAAUAAAGCAGAGUUCCUUACUGGUAAAAAUGCAGAUUGCCUAAAGGUCACCAGAGAAUGGCCCUACCCUGAUGAGGGACAGAGAGUGCUGUGAUUUGGGACUUCCAUGAACACUCAAGACCACCCCCCUUGGUCACUAAAUGCCAGAUCUCAUUGAUGGUGCAGAAUUCCUUGGGAUAUGAAUGAAACCAGCCCUUCUAAAAUAAAGUCAAACCUGCAGUCAGUCACAGAUUUUGGCAGCCCAAAUUUCCUCCUUUUCUACUGUUUUGUGCUGAUAAUGUAUCAACAUUCCUUAAUCCCAUCCAAGCUGAAAUGUGCUUUGCCCUCAUUGAGCUUAAGGUAUAAUCUCCAAAUG
Long non-coding RNA from Canis lupus familiaris (dog), 1027 nucleotides. RefSeq lists it as uncharacterized. The transcript is spliced from 4 exons. Lineage: Eukaryota; Metazoa; Chordata; Mammalia; Carnivora; Canidae. The record is from RefSeq and is a predicted model, not a curated record.